UGACAGUGGUUACUUUGGGUCUAUUGUAAACUUGAUAGUACUGAAUUAAGUAGUCGUGUACACUUUUUGGACAUACACUUAUAAAGAACGGAGUAUGGCUGCUGCUACUCACCAAGUGUUGGGUCUUUCUAUUGAAGAGGAACAGUCCCGAAUCCUUAAAGUGAAGGUAAUAGGUGCUACAGGAUUGUUCAAGAAGGAUCUUAUUGGAGCUAGUGAUCCUUACGUAAGGAUUUCAUUAUAUGAUCCUGGAAGUUCAACAAUUGCCACUAUCCAGACGAAGACAGUUAAAAAG
Long non-coding RNA from Protopterus annectens (West African lungfish), 292 nucleotides. RefSeq lists it as uncharacterized. The record is from RefSeq and is a predicted model, not a curated record. Lineage: Eukaryota; Metazoa; Chordata; Ceratodontiformes; Protopteridae. The transcript is spliced from 3 exons.